Molecule: ribosomal RNA, 467 nt
Filed under: uncultured bacterium
Lineage: Bacteria
Description: partial 16S ribosomal RNA
Rfam family: Bacterial small subunit ribosomal RNA
Source: RNAcentral
GACGAACGCUGGCGGCGUGCUUAACACAUGCAAGUCGAACGGAAAGGCCCUGCUUUUGUGGGGUGCUCGAGUGGCGAACGGGUGAGUAACACGUGAGUAACCUGCCCUUGACUUUGGGAUAACUUCAGGAAACUGGGGCUAAUACCGGAUAGGAGCUCCUGCUGCAUGGUGGGGGUUGGAAAGUUUCGGCGGUUGGGGAUGGACUCGCGGCUUAUCAGCUUGUUGGUGGGGUAGUGGCUUACCAAGGCUUUGACGGGUAGCCGGCCUGAGAGGGUGACCGGCCACAUUGGGACUGAGAUACGGCCCAGACUCCUACGGGAGGCAGCAGUGGGGAAUAUUGCACAAUGGGCGGAAGCCUGAUGCAGCAACGCCGCGUGCGGGAUGACGGCCUUCGGGUUGUAAACCGCUUUCGCCUGUGACGAAGCGUGAGUGACGGCAAUGGGUAAAGAAGCACCGGCUAACUACGU